RNAcentral lists this transfer RNA (71 nucleotides) under Burkholderia vietnamiensis. RNAcentral's name for it is "tRNA-Thr". The record is from RNAcentral. Lineage: Bacteria; Pseudomonadati; Pseudomonadota; Betaproteobacteria; Burkholderiales; Burkholderiaceae.
GGAUGGCGUGGUCUGGCAGUUCGUUGGGCGCGUAGCCCAAAGCUCGUAGGUUCAGAUCCUGCCGCUAUAUA